GUGGAUGUAGCUCAGUUGGUAGAGCUCUGGAUUGUGGUUCCAGUGGUCGCGGGUUCAAUCCCCGUCAUUCACC
Molecule: transfer RNA, 73 nt
Filed under: Denitrovibrio sp.
Lineage: Bacteria; Pseudomonadati; Deferribacterota; Deferribacteres; Deferribacterales; Geovibrionaceae
Description: tRNA-His
Rfam family: tRNA
About the family: Transfer RNA (tRNA) molecules are approximately 80 nucleotides in length. Their secondary structure includes four short double-helical elements and three loops (D, anti-codon, and T loops).
Source: RNAcentral